Molecule: unclassified non-coding RNA, 338 nt
Filed under: soil metagenome
Description: partial contains 5.8S ribosomal RNA, internal transcribed spacer 2, and large subunit ribosomal RNA
Rfam family: 5.8S ribosomal RNA (bases 1-120)
Source: RNAcentral
GAUGAAGAACGUAGUGAAAUGCGAUAAGUAGUGUGAAUUGCAGAAUUCAGUGAAUCAUCGAAUCUUUGAACGCACAUUGCGCCCCUCGGUAUUCCGUGGGGCAUGCCUGUUCGAGCGUCAUUUAACCCCUCAAGCCUAGCUUGGUAUUGGGUGCUUGUCCCGCCUCUCGCGCGGCGACUCACCUCAAAGUCAUUGGCAGCCCGCAUCUCGCCGGCCGUGAGCGCAGCACAGACGCGCUCUUGGCAACGACGGAUCGGCUCUCCAAAAGCUUAUUUCAACCACUGACCUCGGAUCAGGUAGGGAUACCCGCUGAACUUAAGCAUAUCAAAAGCGGAGGA